CCGCCUUUGGUCCGGGGACCCUCCGUGCCUCCGGGGCUUAAGGAACGCGCCGAGAGAAGAGGCGGGAGGCUUAUAUCGAAACAGCCACCGCACACGAGUCACCUAAGUGCCAGACCACGAACCUGAAAUUCGGGGAUUAAGUCAUUUGCCUAAAGCCAUACAACUUGCUGAACGAGAUUUAUGAAAAAAGCAAUAAUCUCGGGCUCCACCUCUCCCGCUCGGAGGCGGCCAUUGGAACGCUGUUAGCUUUCUUCUGGUGGUUACCCAGGUAUCUCGCUCGACAGGCUUGUGUGGCCAUUUCUUGAGGACCAAUUUAGGAAGUUCAUUAAGCAUGGACUCGAGCCUCACCACCCCUGGACGGACCCUGCCCGUUUUUAGUUUUCCUUUUGGUUUCCUCUCUAACUUUAAACACCCUUCUCAUUAUUUUUGUCACCUCCCACUGCUAACCUCUACCUUUGUGUUGUUAAGGCUGAACAGGACACCAUCCUGGGCCCAUAAUUAAGUCUGUGGGUUCCUACUUAAAGGGGCAUGGUGGUUUAUGUGGUUCGGCCUCAGUAAACAAUGUAUUUCAGACUCGGUUUGAUGGCUAUGAUUACAUGGCUUGUAUUGUACAAAGGUUUAUUCUCCCUGUACCAAGUACCUUUCUUUUCUUGCACGAUUA
Molecule: long non-coding RNA, 661 nt
Organism: Herpailurus yagouaroundi (jaguarundi)
Lineage: Eukaryota; Metazoa; Chordata; Mammalia; Carnivora; Felidae
Exons: 2
Source: RefSeq, a predicted model, not a curated record